RNAcentral lists this long non-coding RNA (412 nucleotides) under Ananas comosus (pineapple). RNAcentral describes it as "long non-coding RNA (ACOM_LNC007989)". The record is from RNAcentral. Lineage: Eukaryota; Viridiplantae; Streptophyta; Magnoliopsida; Poales; Bromeliaceae.
GGGGUAUCAAAGCGGCGUCGCCACAGCCAUUUUUACUGGAUACAUCGGUCCGGAGUAAUGCGUCUUCUGAAACGCUGCCAGGCAAUGGCUCUCUUGGCCGCUCAAGUUGUGCGAGAGCUGCUUAGAACGAAGUUUGAAGAACAAUUACGCAGAUGUGGGAGCACCCACCAAACGACAGUUUCCAGAACAAUUCCUCAGAUUUGGGAGCACUCUGCACCCACCCGCUGAAUUGCAACAAAAUCUGCAGUCACACACUGUUGCUUUCUUAGCAAAAUUCCGUUGCACCACCAGUAAGUUCAUCCAGAGGCCACAUUACCAAAUGAGAAAAUUUACCUUGCAAAACAACAGAUCAAUUGCUUGAUAAAUUUGAAUCUUGCAAUCAGAGAAAGUCAUCGUGCUUUCCUAUAGUCCC